CCCGCCCGCGAGGGCUGCCCCUGCCGUUGGCCGCGCAGCCAUCCCGAACCGGUGAGCUGGAGCAGCGUGGCCGCGCGGCGGCAGACGCGAGCGGCGGGCGUCCCGCUAGGGGGCAGGCAGCGCUCACCCAACGCCUCUGCGCCGCGGGGCCCGAGCCGCCGCGGCGAGUCGUCACCCGCAGGUUUUUAUGAACUCUUAAGAGCGUAAGUGUGGGCUAUUCCGGGACAGGAAUCACAUCUUAAGGGCUGAUUGUCCACCAGGAAUUUGACUGACAGACCCCGACCACGGAGAUUGUUUGCUCUGCACCACAGCCUUUCUGCUUCGUGCUAAGGCUCAGAACAACAUGGCUGAGACUCCAUGGAAUUUGAUGGCAUUUCUAUUGCGGACGGAGGAAGUACAAAUCUGUAGUGCGUCAUUCAGUAGCUCGGCACAGGCGGAUACAACCUUGUGUGAAUUGGGUUAGGUAAGCACUA
Molecule: long non-coding RNA, 473 nt
Filed under: Gallus gallus (chicken)
Lineage: Eukaryota; Metazoa; Chordata; Aves; Galliformes; Phasianidae
Description: long non-coding RNA NONGGAT011870
Source: RNAcentral